AGAGGUUAACCUAAGGGAGUCGG
RNAcentral lists this non-coding RNA (23 nucleotides) under Cricetulus griseus (Chinese hamster). Lineage: Eukaryota; Metazoa; Chordata; Mammalia; Rodentia; Cricetidae. The record is from RNAcentral.